CAUCACUAUCACAACAACUAGCACCACUACCCUUGCUAGUCUGUUUCACUCUCUAUGUAAAAAGCAAUCUUGCUCUGCAUACCUGAUUUAAACUUCUUUCCCCUCACUUUCCUUCAGUAUUUGAUGUUUCUACCCUGGGAAAAAGUUUCUAAAUGUCUAACAUACAUGCUUAUUCAUGCUUAAAUUUCUAUCAUGUGUCCCUCAGCCCCUGAUACUUAUCCAGCCUUUCACUAUAGCCCGUAUGCUCUAAUCCAGACAGUAGUGCACCACCAAUAACUCUCGGAGACGGGAGGCAAAAGAUAGGCUUUUAUUAGCUGCAAACAUGACCACGACAUCUUGGAGAUUGAGGGAGGAGCAGUGCCUCCAAUCGCCUUUAUACCGGGGUCUGUGGGAGGAGACACAGGAGCAGUCAGCAGAGGGGCAUGUCCAGACAAGUAUACACAUUGUUUACCACAGACAGUUCCCUGGUAAACCUCUUUUCUAUAGUUCCCAAAGCCUCUACAUACUUACUGUAAUGGUGCGACCAGAAGUGCAUGCAAGAAAAGUCCAAUGUUAACUUCACAGUGAUUGGAAACUAUCUAUGCACCAAGAAAAUUGUGCACAAUUCUGUUAGAACAACUGUAGAAACAAAAGCAAGGCAGCCCCCUCAUCUUUAGGUUACAUUGCAGCACAGACAGCAGCCAUUUAACAUGUGAGGGCAGAAGAUCAGAAUUCAGUCAAAGCAUCACACCCACUGAUGCCCUUCCCAAAAUGCUGUUUGGCACAAAGGAUCUCAAAGGACUUAUCAGAAGAUGCAAUCAGGAAGACUCUAAGACAAAUGUGAACUUAUUAAAUAAAAAUGCUACCAACAUGAUAGAGUCCUCUGAAUAAAUUAUAUUAGAGUGCAUGAGUUAACUGCAUUAUAAUUCAGAAAGCUCUCAUUGUAACACAAAAUUCUGUUUUUUUGGCAAAGAGGUCCAAGGCAGUAAAGGGGACUGGAAUGGAAUUUAUUUUUGUUUAAUUUAUUGAGAUACAAUGUGGAAUAGGCCCUUCUGGCCCUUCAAACUGCACCACCCAGCAACCGCCCGAUUUAAUCCUGGACUAUGGGAGAAAACUGGAACAGCUGAUGGAAGUCCACAAGGUCACAGGGAGAAUGUACAAGCAGUGGCAGGAAUUGAACCUAGGUCCUCUGUACUGUAAAGCAUGUGCUAACCACUACUCUACCAUGCUGUACAGGAACAAACAAAAGGCUGCAAGACAAAUCAGAAAAGGUAAGCACGAAAGAGAUUAGGCAAACAAAGAAACACAGAUUAUAAGGGUGGAUGAAUUGAUUAACACAGUAUUAGAAUAGAGUGUUCUUAUUACUCCCACUCGCUAUGAGAUGAACCCCAAGUUCAGACAUUUUGUGUAGGUGCUUAAUGCAAAGUCAUUCAUCAUAUGUGAGAUUAUGACUGAACGUUCCCUAAGUCAGAAAGUCGUCUAAGCAUUUAAAAAAAUUGAGCCAGAAUCAGGUCAUCUACAAAUAUUUUAGCAUUAGCAUGAGGAUGACGUGUUGGUUUUUGGGAUGGACAUUUAUGAUAAUCCCAGGACUGAAAGAUCAUUGCUUAUUACAUCUGAACUGAGCAGGCAGUUAAAACUGAACUGCAUGGGUGUGUCUGGAAUCAUAAACAGGCUAGUAUAGGAAGUGAUAAUAGAUUUUCUUUCCUGAAUGAUAGUUGUGCAAGAAAGUAUGUUUUUCUAGUCAUAGUUGAGUUUAUUGUUGUAUGCACAGGAACAUGUAUGCACGGAUGCAAUGAAAAGUUUUCUUACAACUACACACAUCAACAGGUAGGCAGCAUUCAACAGAAAAAUCACAAUUUAAACAUAAAUUAUACACACAUUUUACAAGAAACAGCACAAGUAGAACAAAAUGAUGCUGCCUGGCCUGCUGAGUUCCUCCAGCAUUUUGAGUAUUUUGUUUGGAUUUCCAGCAUCUGCAGAUAUUCUCUUGUUUAUCACAGCAAACGAGUAGCUUUAUGAUUGUUGUUACAAAGUUUAGAGCCUUCUUUUAUAAUUUGAUAUUUAUUAAAUUCUUUGAAUUUUAAUUGCUCAGCUGCUACUUUGGGAUAUGAGCUCAUGUGUUUCGAUCAAUGGUUCCUUGUGUAGUAAUUCAACAAAGUGCAACUGCACUUAAUAUUGUUGAUGAAACUUUCACAUCUAGAGCAUUAGUUACAAUUACUGGUCUACUUCACUGCUUCUCUGAUUUUGGAUGUGAGAUAUGUUCUCAUUAAAAAAUAACAUAAAUUAAUACAUAUUUGCAACCACAUCCAGAGGGCCACAAAACAGCUGAUAUAUAUAAGGGAUUAUUUUGGAAGACCAAGCAUGAUCUUAUCAAAACAGGCUUGAAACAGUGAAUGGCUUCAACUCUUACUCAUACUUCAUAUAAACUUAUGUCAAACAGUGUAGGCUGAAGUUUGUGGUGUUCCAUACUUGAAGAGUAGAAGAACGUUUACACCUGGUUUUACCAAAUCUGAUUAUUGCUAAUGAUAACAUUUAUCAGAUUAAUGAGCACAAAACUUUGAAGUAAUGAUAUUUCAGUCAACUUGAAUUUCUCAGUUUCUUAAUAUAGAACAAAGGGUUGAUUUUUUUUAUAUAAAGGAGUUCUGUAGACCUUAUAUAUCUUUAAAACUUCAAAAUACCUCUAGGGCAACAGACGCAAAAUGCUGGAGGAACUCACCAGGUCAGGCAGCAGCUACUGAAAAGAAUAAAUAGCUGACGUUUUGUGUCGGAACACUUCUUCAGGACUGAGGAAGAGCCUCAGCCCAAAAUGUUGACUGUUGAUUCUUUUCCAUAGAUGCUGCCUGACCUGCAGAGUCCCUCCAGCAUGUUGUGUGCAUUGCUUUGGAUUUCUAGCAUUUGCAGACUUUCUCAUGUUUAAGAUGCCUUGACAAAGUUUAAGUAUUGUAGCUCUCAUUUUGCAGGAGCAAGGCUGUUAGUUUCAAUUUGUUUCAACCGCAUUGAAACAAUAAUCAGAUAGUAUGUCUUUACGUGAUAUUACUUGCAGAAAAAUAUUGGCUGGGACCACCGUAGAGAAUGCAUGAACUCUGCAUUGCGAACAUUUGUUUGGAGAAGGUGGAUAGGAUCUUAGUUCAGCCAUCUGCCGGACUUUAUUUCCUGAGGUAAUCAAUCUCCAUAAUCCAAAUGCCAUUUCACAUUUGCAAUGUUUUGUUCAAUUAAUCAUAUCUUUAUUGGCUUUAUGACUGUUAUGCCCAGGUAGAUAAUUGAUAACAGAGAUAGACAGGCAAGAUAUGAAUUGCAAACAGAGUUGAUUUGAAAUAUUUCCAUUUUCAGUUUUGUAUUAUCAUAUGCAUCAGCAUGUGGUAGGGAAAUCUGAGCUAGUACAGGCCAUUUAUUAUCAGAAAUGGAUGAGAGGCUCCAUGUUGCUUUUUCCACAAAAUGAUCUGCAGAGAUCCAAAUCCAUUUACCACAAUCAUAAUAACUUUGAGAACUUCUGAGAAGUAGGCUUUCCUAUGGACAAGGCUUCACCCUAACUGGACAUACCUGAAACCUAACUGGGCAUACCUGAAUCCAGGCAGUGAUCAUAUAUUGAGCUUUGACAGGAGUGCAGUAAUACCAAGUAGUAUGACUUUAGUUUAGUUUCGGUAGAAUGAUUUUUAAUUUUUGAAAUAACUUCUUUAACUGAAUGUCUCAGUAUGAUAACGUAAGUUAGAAUAAAUGUAAGUAAAGCUUGCCUGGAAAUACUGUUUUUGGAUGUAUAUGAUAGGACUGCAGCAUAUUUUUCUGAUAAAAUUGGGCUUAGUUUGGAAUGUAGUAAUUUUUCUUGGCUCCAGAGUGGUCUCUUGCAUGUUGUUGGAGGUGACCGUAUUUAUAAAUAGUUGUCUUUUAGAAAUUUAUUCUCCUAUUUCCUGAAAAUCCAAAAUUGAAUACCUUCAGCUAUGUUUCUGUUCCUACCAUAGGUUCAACAUGCCACAAUUGAACUCACACAUGACAUUGUGUGGGAUUGUGCCCUUUGACAUCUCUGCUGGUUAAUUAUUCCAUCCUUGACCAGUGUAUCUUCUGCUAUCCAGGUUCUUUUGAAGAUCCUGACCCGGAGUUACACACUGACUUUGGUUCUUUGCGGGAAUGGGUCCUGAUCUCAGGGCCUCACGACCGGCCGCUUUUUGAUAUCCCAAGGACAUGGCCUGAAAGAUGAGUGCGCCUUCAGGGUUCCGAGAUUUCACGGCUGUGGGGAUAUGUUGGUUCUGGGCUGGUGCUCCUGACUGAAGCCUCGCAAGAGAACACGGAAGAUUGGGAGCAGCGGGUCAGCUGCCAGGGGUUGUGUGCCUGGAGAGCUGCGCCUUUUUGGUGCCGACUCUGCAAGGCAGAACUCGGAAAAAGUGAUGCAGCUGAUUUUUAACGUCGUAAAUCAGUGUACGGCAAAGCUGCAGUGAAGCUUGGAGCCAUGGUACCCUGAAAAGAACACAAUGAAACACCUUUGAAGUGUGCCAUGGUGUAAUGGAGGAGGCAACUGAUUCACAGCAAGCUCUCACAGGUAUUUCCUGUUUUGUUGGAUACUUACAGCAUUCUCUUCUGUUUCACGUUUUCAGCAGAUAGUAUAUUCUGCCUCUUGCAGUUCCAGCCAGUUCUUCUGAUUUUUAUUUUCUCUCCAAUUGUCCUCAUUCAUCGGUUGUCUAGAUGGCUCCAAAAGCACUGUGACACCCGAAGAACUUCUUCACCAUAUGGAAGGAAGCUUCUUCUUGGAUGUUUCUGUGGAGUAUUCCUGCUGGGGAGAUCCUCGUUGGGAGAGAUUCCUGGGGCAAAUUCCUGAUUUCUUUCUUUGGAGAGAUACUGCUAAGGAUUGCUCCUUUUGGGAAAGUAUUCAGCUGGCUAUCAAAGUUAAAUUCCAAUGCUGUUGUUAUACAUUUUUAAUUUUAGAAGUACAGCCUGGUAACUGGUCCUUCUGGCACAAUGAGGGCUGUACCACCCAAAUACACCCAUGUGAUCAAUUAACCUACUAGCCUGUAUAUCAUUGGAUCGGUGGGGGGGGGGGGGUGGAACCAGAACACUGAGUAGAAACCCACACAGCCAUGGGGAGGACAAACAAACUGCUUACAGACAGCGGAGGUAUUGAACCCGGGUCACUGGUGCUGUUUGAGUGUUAUGCUAACAUACCACCACUUAGAUUGACAAUGACAAUGUGGAAGGUUGCUGGUAAAGGACAAAGUAAGAGUUCGCCUUUUCAGUUUGCCAUCAUGCCUAGACAAAUGUAGGAUUGCAUUAACUCCUUGAAUCAGACAAGGAAUAUCUAGCCUUUCCUCACUUCUACAGUUACAUUGGCUGCAGUUCUCAAUGCCUUUGUCUGUGUUUGCUCACUUAUGAUCAUUACAUCCGCUGUAGCUGAGAUCGCCCCACCCCCCUGGCCCGAUAGUGGCUUUCAUCUUCAAGCUGUAAUUGGGUUUUGUUUUCAAUUCUGAGAUUUAGGAGAUCUAAACUGCAGGGGAAGAUCUGAAUUUGACAGUUUUAUUGUAAACAUUAUGAGAUCACUAAUCUAUUGACCAGAAGAUAUGGAACAUGGCUGGAGGGCUGUAUGUGCUCAAACAAUUAAGGCUAUAGAGUUACAGUUGGUUACCCUUCCGAACCUUGAUAUCUCCAGCUACAAUGGAGACACAGGAGAUGGCAAGAGCUUGAAAUGAGAGCAACAAAUGAUCUGCUGGAGGAAUUCAGUAUUUUGACCACAAUUAUUGACAAUUUGUUUCCUACCACAAAUGCUGCUCGACCCAUUGAGUUCCUCCAGAGUUUAUUUCUAUCUCCAGCUAUGAUUGGAAGUGCUUAUUUACAAUAUGAGAUGGAUGCAGAAAGUUCUUGGGACCUUGAACUCAGCUGUCACUAACUUUCGUAGGACAGGUUCCAGCAGUUUUCUUGAAAAUACAAUGGCUACAUGUCUUUAAGAUACUCUACUGAACAAUUCUUUCACAUUAUUUACAAAGUGUUAUGAAUUCAUUUUACAGGCUUUGGUUGUCAUUAAUAAGACCAGCUUUCAUUGCCCAUCCCUAAUCGAAGGUAAUAGUGAGCUGCCUUCUUGAACCACUGUAGUCCUUCUUGUGAGUGUACUCCCACAACAUUGUCCAGCAGGGAGUUCCAGGAUUUAGAUCCAGGAGGUCUGAAGGAACAUUUAUGUUGAGACAUCAGUCUCUGUUGUAAACCAUAUGUUGCAAAGCAGUCAAGCCAUGUAACUCCUCUCUUUUCUUUUCAAAUCUUUUUAUUAUUAUUAUUAUCAUUCAAAAAUAACACAGGUACAUCGAAGUAGCAACACUUACAAUGCCUCAAAAAAAAGAAAUUAUCUUAAAGAUUGAAAGCUUUUGUGAAUUUAAAAAAAACCCUACUAAGCAAGAUAAGUGAGAAAAAAAAAGAAACCCAUUGCGAGUACAACCCCGGAGCCAUGCGUCAUGUAACUGCUCUCCAACACACUUAGGUACACAAGGUAGAACAUGUUCAAGCUCAAGGGUACUGAUCAAGCUUGUUGGGUGGGCAUAAUUCAGUUCUUUUUGAAUACAAGCAUAUGAUUUAUUAACUCACUGAAUCAGUAGUGAGGCGUACAUUGGGAAGAUCCAAAACAAUGUGCUCACACACACACAUACAUAUAUAUUCUUUAUAUUCUUUUAAAUUUUGACAAAUUAUUUUGAGUUAUUUUGUGGUGAGUGCAGCAACAAAAACUGACACCAUGCCAUAAAAGAAAAUGUAUCAGAUAUGAAGGUAAAUUUUUAGGAAUAUCUUGCAGAAAGAGAAUGAGGAAUUAAAAGGAGCUAAUAGGGUCAUUCUUCUAAACUUUCUGAAAGGUUGCUUCUCUGAGCUAAAGGUUUGGCAAUCACCAUUACCAGAUAAAGGAUUAGCUACUUAGGCCUGAGCCAAAGAAAAAUUUCUUCACUCUAAGGGUUGUGAAUCCUUGAAAACCUCUGCCUAUUGUAUUCCUUGUCAAUGAUGGUAUUCAAAAUGUUAUUCGAUUGGAAUGAAAAGCUAUACAGAUCGGACAGGAAAGCUGAAUUAAUGUUGUUCACUGAAGACGUGAAGGGUCAUGUUCAGGGGGAAGAUCAUCAGAGUGCAAGCUAUGGCAUAGAAUCUUAAAUAGAUGGGCAUUAUUAGUUCACUCUUCAUCACCCCUUCUCCUUUCAGAAACACUUUAGUGGUAAUGAACCUUACUGUCUUCAGUCCUUACUCACAGACUGAGUGCCUGUAUCUUUUAGCAGACCUGGUGUGUCUGUUGUCUGUAAAGGUCAUAGUGCAUGGGCCCACGGAAUCACUGUGUAUGCAUACUUCAGGGUCUGCUAAUUCCCAAUGUCCUGAAGAAUCCAAAGUUUACAUUAAGAUUCAAGUUAAUACUAUGCUUGUUGUUGCAAAAUGUAGUGCAAUCAUUCAAAGUUUGCAAAAUGUGCAGUCUAUGCAGCCUGUUAUUAUUCUAAGGUACAUUUUGUUUAACAGCACACUAGUGCUGAUCCCAGUGUUGGAGAUGGCAAUAAAAUAUAAAUCACUUAAAUAUGUUGAAAUGGAGUUACGUAAUUUUAAUACUCCCAAAUGCUAGAAGCCUGAUAUUACAACUUAACAUUCCUACAGAGAUGUGCUUCAAUGAGAAUUUCACAAACAAAGAGCAAUGUGCAUAGAAUCCAUUGCCUGCACUUGGAAAUGUUAAUAAGGAAAACUGUAGCAGCCGCUGAAGCAUAGUUGAAGAUGAAUGUGUUCAGUCUUAUUGAACGCGUGGGAGUAUUAUGUUUUAAUUCUGUUUCUGCUCUGUCUCAGAUGGUAUUUGUCUAUCUCCACUUUAUCAUACCAUUAUUACUUACCUAUUUGCAUGUUUUGAUAGCACUUACUUCCACGUAGCUGCAUUCUUUACAUCCCCUAA
This is a long non-coding RNA of Hypanus sabinus (Atlantic stingray), 7852 nucleotides long. RefSeq lists it as uncharacterized. The transcript is spliced from 4 exons. Lineage: Eukaryota; Metazoa; Chordata; Chondrichthyes; Myliobatiformes; Dasyatidae. The record is from RefSeq and is a predicted model, not a curated record.